Molecule: ribosomal RNA, 211 nt
Filed under: Vibrio parahaemolyticus
Lineage: Bacteria; Pseudomonadati; Pseudomonadota; Gammaproteobacteria; Vibrionales; Vibrionaceae
Description: partial 16S ribosomal RNA
Rfam family: Bacterial small subunit ribosomal RNA
Source: RNAcentral
GGAGGAAGGUGGGGACGACGUCAAGUCAUCAUGGCCCUUACGAGUAGGGCUACACACGUGCUACAAUGGCGCAUACAGAGGGCGGCCAACUUGCGAAAGUGAGCGAAUCCCAAAAAGUGCGUCGUAGGCCGGAUUGGAGUCUGCAACUCGACUCCAUGAAGUCGGAAUCGCUAGUAAUCGUGGAUCAGAAUGCCACGGUGAAUACGUUCCC